RNAcentral lists this small nuclear RNA (96 nucleotides) under Pteropus vampyrus (large flying fox). Lineage: Eukaryota; Metazoa; Chordata; Mammalia; Chiroptera; Pteropodidae. The record is from RNAcentral.
UUCAUAUUUAAAGGAGUGAAUAGCAUAAUAGAGAGAAGAUUAGCAUGGCCCCUGCACAAGGAUGACAUGCAAAUUUGCGAAGCAUCCCAUAAACAA